Molecule: ribosomal RNA, 496 nt
Filed under: uncultured bacterium
Lineage: Bacteria
Description: partial 16S ribosomal RNA
Rfam family: Bacterial small subunit ribosomal RNA
Source: RNAcentral
AUGAACGCUGGCGGCGUGCCUAAUACAUGCAAGUCGAGCGAACAGACGAGGAGCUUGCUCCUCUGACGUUAGCGGCGGACGGGUGAGUAACACGUGGAUAACCUACCUAUAAGACUGGGAUAACUUCGGGAAACCGGAGCUAAUACCGGAUAAUAUAUUGAACCGCAUGGUUCUAUAGUGAAAGACGGUUUUGCUGUCACUUAUAGAUGGAUCCGCGCCGCAUUAGCUAGUUGGUAAGGUAACGGCUUACCAAGGCAACGAUGCGUAGCCGACCUGAGAGGGUGAUCGGCCACACUGGAACUGAGACACGGUCCAGACUCCUACGGGAGGCAGCAGUAGGGAAUCUUCCGCAAUGGGCGAAAGCCUGACGGAGCAACGCCGCGUGAGUGAUGAAGGUCUUCGGAUCGUAAAACUCUGUUACUAGGGAAGAACAAAUGUGUAAGUAACUAUGCACGUCUUGACGGUACCUAAUCAGAAAGCCACGGCUAACUACGUG